GAGUUUGAUCAUGGCUCAGAAUGAACGCUGGCGGCAGGCCUAACACAUGCAAGUCGAACGGAGUUAUAUUGUAGCUUGCUAUGGUAUAACUUAGUGGCAGACGGGUGAGUAAUGUAUAGGAAUCUACCUAGUAGUACGGAAUAAUUGUUGGAAACGGCAACUAAUACCGUAUACGCCCUACGGGGGAAAAAUUUAUUGCUAUUAGAUGAGCCUAUAUUAGAUUAGUUAGUUGGUGAGGUAAAGGCUUACCAAGACAAUGAUCUAUAGCUGAUCUGAGAGGAUGAUCAGCCACACUGGAACUGAGAUACGGUCCAGACUCCUACGGGAGGCAGCAGUGGGGAAUAUUGGACAAUGGGCGAAAGCCUGAUCCAGCCAUGCCGCAUGAGUGAAGAAGGCCUUCGGGUUGUAAAGCUCUUUUAGUGAGGAAGAUAAUGACGGUACUCACAGAAGAAGUCCUGGCUAACUCCGUGCCAGCAGCCGCGGUAAUACGGAGAGGNC
This 498-nucleotide ribosomal RNA is filed under the name uncultured Hyphomicrobiales bacterium. RNAcentral's name for it is "bacterial SSU rRNA". It matches the Rfam family "Bacterial small subunit ribosomal RNA", at positions 9 to 535 of the family's 1533-position model. Lineage: Bacteria; Pseudomonadati; Pseudomonadota; Alphaproteobacteria; Hyphomicrobiales. The record is from RNAcentral.